Pygocentrus nattereri (red-bellied piranha) is the source of this 150-nucleotide long non-coding RNA. NCBI's taxonomy places the organism in Eukaryota, Metazoa, Chordata, Actinopteri, Characiformes, Serrasalmidae. The record is from Ensembl.
AGCCUCUACAUCGCUGGACUCUGCUGGUGCCAACGCUACAGCUAUUAACACCUCUACAUCGCUGGACUCUGCUGGUGCCAACGCUACAGCUAUUAACAGUAAGUGAGCAGUCAGAGGUCAGACUUCACUAUUCAGACACCCAAACACAUG